This 263-nucleotide non-coding RNA is filed under the name Leptonema illini DSM 21528. Its description in RNAcentral is "Bacterial large subunit ribosomal RNA". It matches the Rfam family "Bacterial large subunit ribosomal RNA", at positions 2652 to 2912 of the family's 2925-position model. Lineage: Bacteria; Pseudomonadati; Spirochaetota; Leptospiria; Leptospirales; Leptospiraceae. The record is from Rfam by way of RNAcentral.
CGUUGGAGAUUUGAGGGUAUCUGUCCUUAGUACGAGAGGACCGGGAUGGACGAACCUCCGGUGCACCGGUUGUCGCGCCAGCGGCAUAGCCGGGUAGCCAUGUUCGGUGUGGAUAACCGCUGAAAGCAUCUAAGCGGGAAGCCCUACCCAAGAUUAGAUCUCCCUGGCCGCAAGGCCCUGAAGACACCUCGAAGACUACGAGGUUGAUAGGCUGCAGAUGUAAGUGUGGUAACACGCUCAGUCGAGCAGUACUAAUAUGUCGU